UCUGUUUGAGAAAAUGUCUCAAUAUGUAUUAAGUAGGAUUCUUCUUGCUUCAAUUAUAUUCCUAUUUGUGUUUCAUUAAUUGAGAUUCUAAAUUAUGUUUUUCUCUAAUAUUACUUGGCAGGCUCAUAGCGUUGUUGAUGAAGGUUAGGAAUGAGGUAAGUCUUUUGAUCAGUUGCCGACAAAAUGUUCGUCUAUAUUUGAUAACAAAAAAGCUGUGAAUUGCAAUUGUAGGAGCUAUGGGUUGAAUCAUUCAUUCUCAAGGUAUCUUGACAGCAAAAGAAACAACAAACGGUAUGUGUUUCUUAUUGUUUUAUUUUGUUACAUAUCAGAUAAGAAAUGGUAGCAACAUAAAUUCAGUGUUGGUUUAUGGUCAUGAUACUUGCUAACUCCACAACUUGCAUUAAAGAAGAAUGACACUGUUAUGUGAGUUUUCAUAUUGGAAGUUUUUGAGAAAUCUGAUUUUCAAAUCAGUCUUGGAAAAAAUUCCUUUAAUGUAGGUUUAUUUCCAUCCAUCAAUGGUGUAUUAAUAAUAUUAAUUAGGUUGAGUGAAAAAUUGUUAUUGUGAAAGAAGCAAUUAAGUGUUGAUAAUAGAAAGUGCAUCAAAUUUCAAAUUUCCUCUGUACCAUAAUUUUAAUAUUUGGUUUCAAAUUUCUCCCAACACAGGUUAAAAUUUGAAUUUUUUUUUGCCUAAUUUUUUAGUUUUUAUUAGGACCAAAAUCUGCAUUUUGUGCCAUAAAAGGGUAGUUUUGGGUUGUUGCAAAUUGCACCUGAUAAAAGCGCUGGAGCCUUUGUUAAUUUUGUGUUGUACACCUCAUUUUCUAAGGCACAAUGGUGAAUAUGUGUACAAGGUCUCUCCUAUAUUAUUAGUUCUGCGCAUUUUAAUAACGAAAAUUCUACCAUGCCGUAGUCGAAACAGCGGAUUUAAAUCCGUCGGCUUCACUGACCAAUAGGAAGAGAGUUUAACCAAGGGUUUCACAAGUCAACUUAUGUGAAGGGAAAAGAAGAAAACAAUAAAAAAUAGUGAGAAAAAAAUUGGAAUUGUAAUGGAAGCAAGCAACACAUGGUGUAUUUUUUUAAUGGAAGUAUAACAUUGUUUUUCAUUUUUAUUUGUCAAUGUCUUUACUUAUUCAAAUGUA
RNAcentral lists this long non-coding RNA (1136 nucleotides) under Medicago truncatula (barrel medic). RNAcentral's name for it is "long non-coding RNA (MTRU_LNC000668)". The record is from RNAcentral. Lineage: Eukaryota; Viridiplantae; Streptophyta; Magnoliopsida; Fabales; Fabaceae.